This 1826-nucleotide long non-coding RNA is filed under the name Homo sapiens (human). Its description in RNAcentral is "HSALNT0305030". The record is from RNAcentral. Lineage: Eukaryota; Metazoa; Chordata; Mammalia; Primates; Hominidae.
GUGUACAUCAUUGGGAAUGGAGGGAAAUAAAUGACUGGAUGGUCGCUGCUUUUUAAGUUUCAAAUUGACAUUCCAGACAAGCGGUGCCUGAGCCCGUGCCUGUCUUCAGAUCUUCACAGCACAGUUCCUGGGAAGGUGGAGCCACCAGCCUCUCCCUGACAAGCAAAGUGGAUCAGCAAAGGCUGCAGUCACCAGCAUCUUUUCCAACCUUAAUGAACUGUAUCCUCAAAAGAACACUAUCAGACUGGCUCUGCCGACUUCCAGUUCUGGAACAAGAUGGUUAAACUCAUUUUUCCCUGCUCUGCUCCUCUAAAUACAACUAAGUACCUUGGAAACUAUUCAGCAGACAAUGAUAAAGGGCUCUGAAAGCUAGAAGAAAAGGUGUACUUGCAAGAAACCUCAGGACUUGAGUAACAGCAACAUGGCAGGCCAGAAAGCAGACCCAGGGAGGAUAGCACAUGUCUUCGGCUACACUGGUGAAGGCAUCGUGCCUGCUCCACAGCACAUUUUUAUUCAAGAACAAUCCAUUUCACAGAUGAAGAAACAGACUCAGUGAGCACGUGAUCACUUCUCACAACUAAUGGAGCCAAGAUUCUGUCCUUAUGGCUCCAGAGACCUCUUUUUUUUCCCACUGUACCACAACACUCACCAGGACUGGAGUGCCACCUAUGACCUCAUUGCAUAAUGGAUGGCUUGUCCUCAAAUGGGCCCGGUCUUGGACGAGCCUGAGGAUGUCUACAAGUGGAAGAAAAGAAGCCACUGGAGCAGAAGGUGGGGAGGAUAAAAUUUGGAGCAAGAUUCUCAAGGAAGCAACAAGAUCCUAAGGAAAGGAGAAAGAGACUACCUACUGCAUUUCUGUCACUCGCUGAAAAGGACACUCUGUCAGAAAAUCUUCUAGCAAACUUCAAAGGGCAAAAUCACCCCUUGUUACUGAUAAAGCCCAGAGAGCUUCAGCAGCUAACAUUCCCUGGACAGGGCACAGCAAGGAUUUGAACCUAGCUCACCAAGCUCCUGUAUCUACUGGAAAAUGGAAGUCCAGCCUUACCAACUUGUGAACCUUGUCUGAAGGGAGCCAGGGCCUGCCAAUGGAACCACCUCCAGGAGCUGCAACUGCUGUUGUCAUUAAUACCAUUGUGUCUAUUUUUUGAGAGAGAUAAACUUUUCAUGGUGUUACAUUUUGGAAAAAAAAAAAAAAGACUAGGUGAACAGUCAGGUAGGAAAGCAGCAUAACAGUCCCUUAAAUUCUGAUCAUGUAGGACAUUCUUCUUUGCCCUGGGCCUGGGAAAAUGCAGCAUGUUCCAGAGCAAAAGUCCUAAUGAGGGGAACUAAACCAGUGGGACCCAAACCAAUGUCCUGGCUCACUGAGGACCCGUUAGAACCAAAUCUCUGGGUGUGGACAGGCUCCCAUACUUUUCAAAAAUUCCCCUGAUGACUAAUGAACAACCAGAGGUAAGAACCAGUGGCCCAGAGGAAUAACCAGCCCAGCUGUUGUACGAGCUCGCUAAGCUGGCUCAGGUCAAUGUUGAAUUCUCUGCUAGGCAGCUCCUCAUAAGAACUGGCAGAGAUGGUUCUUACACAACAACAGGUGACAACUCCAGACUCUGCCGGAAGUUCCAGGAUCUGGGUUCCCGGACAAUGCAUGACACUCAGUCCAGCAUUGCAGGUGGAAGAGCGACGGUGAAAAGACCAAAGUCAAUUAAAAUGUGUUAACCAAAACAGGAAACAUGAGUGAGGUGAUUGAGAGUGUGUUUAACUUAGAUGUGUGAUUUUAUCAAUACUUUCAUUGUUCAAAAACUCUUAUUUUUUAAAGAUAUUUUCAAAACAAA